GCAGAAAUCUCGACAAGUGACGGCGAAGAAACGAAGGAGUACAUUGGAAUGACGGCGGGGACGUUCAAGAAGAGGCAUGCCAACCAUAAAAAAUCACUAACUGUUCUUCGGUAUUCAGCGGAAACAGAGUUAUCAAAGUAUGCGUGGAAACUCAAGAAAAGCGGGAAGCAAUACAACAUCAAGUGGAGCAUACUAAAGCGUGCCCGUGCGUAUACGGCUGGUGCAGCAAGAUGCAAUCUGUGCCUUGAAGAGAAGGUUUGCUUACUGGAAGCUGACAAAAGCAGGAUAUUGAAUAAACGCUCAGAAAUAUUCGCGAAAUGCUGUCAUAGAAAUAGUUUUAGCGCGCGAGAUGCGUCAGCAAACCGUUAGUUUAGAGCACGUCAUUGAAUCAACUUCAUUCGCCUGAAGAUCGCUUUGAAAGAAGCGUGAAACACAGUGUAGCGACAAAUCUGUUAUACUUAGAUCCAGAAGGUCAGAAAGUGUUUUCGCCCGGACCAUUUGUGGCAUUUAAAACUGGCCGCAACUUAAAAAGUUAUUUAGUUAGGGCUAAAGUACCGCCGUUAGUGAGGGAAAAGGGGUG
Paramuricea clavata is the source of this 580-nucleotide non-coding RNA. The record is from the annotation of a GenBank genome assembly. NCBI's taxonomy places the organism in Eukaryota, Metazoa, Cnidaria, Anthozoa, Malacalcyonacea, Plexauridae.